Molecule: ribosomal RNA, 238 nt
Filed under: uncultured bacterium
Lineage: Bacteria
Description: partial 16S ribosomal RNA
Rfam family: Bacterial small subunit ribosomal RNA
Source: RNAcentral
GUGGGGUAACGGCCCACCAUGGCGACGAUCAGUAGCCGGACUGAGAGGUUGACCGGCCACAUUGGGACUGAGAUACGGCCCAGACUCCUACGGGAGGCAGCAGUGGGGAAUAUUGGGCAAUGGACGCAAGUCUGACCCAGCAACGCCGCGUGAAGGAUGAAGGCUUUCGGGUUGUAAACUUCUUUUAUUCGGGACGAAGAAAAUGACGGUACCGAAUGAAUAAGCCACGGCUAACUAC